This 27-nucleotide non-coding RNA is filed under the name Rattus norvegicus (Norway rat). Lineage: Eukaryota; Metazoa; Chordata; Mammalia; Rodentia; Muridae. The record is from RNAcentral.
UAUUGAUAAGUGAGGUGUACUUCAUGU